AAGGGUGUAGCUCAGUGGUGGAGCACAUGCUUAGCCUGCACAAGAUCCUGGGUUCAAUCCCCAGUACCUCCA
This 72-nucleotide transfer RNA is filed under the name Camelus bactrianus (Bactrian camel). It matches the Rfam family "tRNA". Rfam says of the family: Transfer RNA (tRNA) molecules are approximately 80 nucleotides in length. Their secondary structure includes four short double-helical elements and three loops (D, anti-codon, and T loops). Further hydrogen bonds mediate the characteristic L-shaped molecular structure. tRNAs have two regions of fundamental functional importance: the anti-codon, which is responsible for specific mRNA codon recognition, and the 3' end, to which the tRNAs corresponding amino acid is attached (by aminoacyl-tRNA synthetases). tRNAs cope with the degeneracy of the genetic code in two manners: having more than one tRNA (with a specific anti-codon) for a particular amino acid; and 'wobble' base-pairing, i.e. permitting non-standard base-pairing at the 3rd anti-codon position. Lineage: Eukaryota; Metazoa; Chordata; Mammalia; Artiodactyla; Camelidae. RNAcentral also lists the same sequence under 1 other name. The record is from Rfam by way of RNAcentral.